CUUCCUUUCGUGUUUUGAUAUCUUGUUGUUUUGCUACUCUCACUUCGGAGUUCGGAUGGUGUCUAGCAACGUUGGGUACCUCGUUUCUUGUGUGUGUGAUCGAGUGGUUGCUGUUUACGAUGUGUUCAUAUAUCGCUUUGUAGUGCUGUAAUGUGCAAAUUAGCGGACUUUAUAGCGGCUCUCUAUUUUCCGUCGUUGUCUUUCGAGCAGCGCCUGUUGUUCCGGUAAAAAUCGAGUUGAAUGAAUCGCCACAGCCCCAACGUAUAUCACGCAGUGUUGACCAAGACCAAGUCAAGCAGGAAUUCUGGCAUGGUAUGUGGCUGCACGAAGGAUUCCGGAAAAGAAAAACAACAACAUGGCUAAUAGGAUGUUGCUGCCCAGGGAGUCCUGGCGAAGAGGUUUACUCAUUCCAGAAGCAAGAAUUGUAUCAUUGUAAGGCGAAUGGAAAUAAACUGACAUCGACUGA
Ornithodoros turicata is the source of this 466-nucleotide long non-coding RNA. RefSeq lists it as uncharacterized. The transcript is spliced from 3 exons. The record is from RefSeq and is a predicted model, not a curated record. NCBI's taxonomy places the organism in Eukaryota, Metazoa, Arthropoda, Arachnida, Ixodida, Argasidae.